UACAGAGACUGCGAGCGUUAUUCGGAUUCACUGGGCGUAAAGGGUGCGCAGGCGGCCGAGUGUGUGAGGCGUGAAAGCCUGGGGCUUAACCCCAGAAUUGCACCUCAAACUACACGGCUAGAGCAUUGGAGAGGGUAGCAGAAUUCACGGUGUAGCAGUGAAAUGCGUAGAUAUCGUGAGGAAUACCAGAGGCGAAGGCGGCUACCUGGACAAUUGCUGACGCUCAUGCACGAAAGCGUGGGGAGCAAACAGG
Molecule: ribosomal RNA, 253 nt
Filed under: uncultured bacterium
Lineage: Bacteria
Description: partial 16S ribosomal RNA
Rfam family: Bacterial small subunit ribosomal RNA
Source: RNAcentral